Molecule: ribosomal RNA, 460 nt
Filed under: uncultured bacterium
Lineage: Bacteria
Description: partial 16S ribosomal RNA
Rfam family: Bacterial small subunit ribosomal RNA
Source: RNAcentral
CCUACGGGUGGCAGCAGUGAGGAAUAUUGGUCAAUGGGCGGAAGCCUGAACCAGCCAAGUAGCGUGCAGGAUGACGGCCCUACGGGUUGUAAACUGCUUUUAUACGGGAAUAACGCGCCUUACGUGUAGGGCUUUGCAUGUACCGUAUGAAUAAGGACCGGCUAAUUCCGUGCCAGCAGCCGCGGUAAUACGGAAGUUCCGGGCGUUAUCCGGAGUUAUUGGGUUUAAAGGGAGCGUAGGCCGCAUCUCAAGCUUGCUGGGAAAUGGCCGGGCUCAACCCGGGCCUUGCAGCGCGACCUGGCGUGCUUGAGUCCGCGGAAAGCAGGCGGAAUUCGUCGUGUAGCGGUGAAAUGCUUAGAUAUGACGAAGAACCCCGAUUGCGAAGGCAGCUUGCUGCAGCGGAACUGACGCUGAUGCUCGAAAGCGCGGGUAUCGAACAGGAUUAGAUACCCCAGUAGUC